UACGGGGGGAGCAAGCGUUGUUCGGAUUUACUGGGCGUAAAGGGCGCGUAGGCGGUCGUGACAAGUCACUUGUGAAAUCUCCGGGCUUAACUCGGUAGCGGCCAAGUGAUACUGUCGGACUAGAGUGCGGAAGGGGCAACUGGAAUUCUCGGUGUAGCGGUGAAAUGCGUAGAUAUCGAGAGGAACACCUGCGGCGAAGGCGGGUUGCUGGGUCGACACUGACGCUGAGGCGCGAAAGCCAGGGGAGCGAACGGG
This 255-nucleotide ribosomal RNA is filed under the name uncultured Acidobacteriota bacterium. RNAcentral's name for it is "uncultured Acidobacteria bacterium partial 16S ribosomal RNA". It matches the Rfam family "Bacterial small subunit ribosomal RNA", at positions 524 to 776 of the family's 1533-position model. The record is from RNAcentral. Lineage: Bacteria; Pseudomonadati; Acidobacteriota.